Dermochelys coriacea (leatherback sea turtle) is the source of this 325-nucleotide long non-coding RNA. RefSeq lists it as uncharacterized. The record is from RefSeq and is a predicted model, not a curated record. NCBI's taxonomy places the organism in Eukaryota, Metazoa, Chordata, Testudines, Dermochelyidae. The transcript is spliced from 2 exons.
CCUCACUAUCUGCACCAAAUGAAGUUAAGGCUGAGGAGCCUACAAACCCCUGCACAACUCUGCACACAGGUGAAAACCUGGAGCCACUGGAGCCAAGAUUUUACCCAUGAUCUUCAUGCCUUCUUCCACAUUGCCCCCUAUCCUUGGAAUGGUCAUCAUGUUUUCAUGAAUCACAUAUCCUGCCUCUUCUUCAAAUGUCUCAACAUUCUGCUCUUCUACAACGUCUUUUAAAAGUGAACCGGGCAAAAUUCCAACACCGACCUGAAGUGCCUGAUUUAUUGAUUUUUUUAGCUGUGUGUGAAAUAACAAACAUUAAGUUCCUUGG